RNAcentral lists this long non-coding RNA (2607 nucleotides) under Physcomitrium patens. Its description in RNAcentral is "long non-coding RNA (PPAT_LNC005284)". Lineage: Eukaryota; Viridiplantae; Streptophyta; Bryopsida; Funariales; Funariaceae. The record is from RNAcentral.
AUCUGGCAUCAUCAGGAGAUGUGCAAAUACUUCUGUGACUAGGAUUAUUUAGAUCAUGUUCAUCAAAAGCACCAGUUGACUUAAAGGUAAAUUGGGACAAUGUCGAAAGUGAUUUCUGCAGAUGUAAAUUCCUAGAGAGUGCAAGUGCUCCUCACGCUGCCUUGAUUUCCUGUCAUGGCUCGUGAGGUCAACUUCACAUAGGCUGAUUGGAAGGCAGAGAAGAAGGCUCCCUGGUUAGAGGCGUAGAGCGUGACGAUGGGGGCUGUGCGUGGAUCCGUGCUAAGCUGGUCGUCGACGGUGAAGAGACCGCGUCCGUUCUGAAUGUCUUGGAAGUACUGGUUGUCGAAUGUGAACUGAGAGGCGUCAUUGUUGAGGAUUGCGAUAUCGAACACAUUUACAGCACAUGCUGCCCGGAGUUGAGUGCGAUAGACGACACUGUUUGGGGCAGUUGGACUAUUAAGCUGCAGACGAUCUUGGAUGUUUUUACAGUGUCCUACUCCGAGAGUGUGAGCACCUGCAAACAAAAAUAAAGACGGCUAAGAUUCAGAGAGUGAACGAAUUCAAGGAAGCUUGUGGGUUCAAACAAUAACUUCUUUGCAGGCUUGGUAAAUACAAUCGCUCAUGAUACGGAAAAGCUAGCGUACCUAGAAUGGCAACACUCUCGGCUAUGCUCAUGCCGAAGGGGGCAAAAACAUUGAGAACUCUGUCCACAUUGGAGGUAGCAGGUGGGAGUUUGGCUUCGGCUUCAGUUGCACUAGAGAAAUCAGCAUCCUUCCUGCCGAGAGGAAUUUGAAUUUCAGGGCCGCCAUUGUAAGCAACUGCGUCCCGUCCAGCCAUAGCGAUAAUGUCUGCGCAGGAAACCGUCAACGGGCACAUAUCCUCCAUGUCAGAUUUGACGGAGUUGAUGAUAUCCAGGCGCUUGACUCCAAAGUUACUGCCAGCGUCCAUUUCCCCGCCAUCGCCUUCCAUCAUGAUGGAGCCAUCGCACCCUCCCUGCACAAAGAGAAACUACCCUUACAUUCCAGAAUUGAACUAUUGCCCUCUGAACAAACAUGGUCAACGGAGGAGCAUGUGAGAAAGCAAUGGAGCAGAAGCAACAACACGAGCCACACAACACUCCCAACAAGUAAGCUCAGAAAUUUGGUUGCUAAUUCGUUUGAGUAGACUGCUAAAAGAGUUGCUACUAUCAAUGAAUUAGCAAUAACAAAUACAAGUUCCUCAGUAUUCAUUCUCAUUAGAAAGUAAUUUCCCUCCUGCUGUCAGCACAAGGUUAUUUAAUUUCAGGAUCUAUUAGAAGCAUUCGAGACUGUCCAAAGUAUCAAUUAGCACAAAUACUUUCGAGUAAAACUCCCAAUUUCUGACUCAAAGUGCUACUACCUUAAUAUUAGAUGUGUAAAAGAGCUACCUAUCUGUGUUUGACCGAGAAAAGUCUUCACUGUCAACUUCCAGACACGGCAUUACUACCAUGGAAGUUCUUGUGUAUUCUACCGACGGCGUCAACGUGAGUAAGUGCAAGUGCAAAGCUAAGAUGUAAUACCACCUGGGGAAAGGAUGGAGCCUACAAUUGUUGUAAGUAAAGCAUUAGUGCAAUGUCAGCGAGGCAAGCAGGGGAGGGGGGCUAAUGUAUGUGGUAACAACACCACUUCCUUUUUUUGCAGACAACGUAAUCCAUGUCGGUAAAUGCUGGCGGAGAGGUUUGGAAAAACGACAUUACUAAAAACAUGAACUUAGUAUUUUCACACAGUUAUCUCCUGAGUGUUGAUAAGCAGAAGACCUGAAGGACAUCGAUAGGAAUAUGAGCUCAAGGAAUGGCAAGCCGGUCUUGUUACGUUAAGGUGUGAGGUACUCACAGGUCCGACUUGACAGUCAUGAAAAGCAAGGCGGAGCAUUGCAGCACUUGAAGUAGCAUCUGUAAGGAAGCUCCGCCGCACCAAGGUUCGCACUCUAUCCUCCACCCCCGCACACCCCAACGAAUCAUAGUAGCCAUACCGCAGCUCAGCGUCCGCCACCGCCGCCAGCAGGAAAGCAGCGGUGAGGAGCUCCAACGCCAACAAUCUCCCCAUUGCCAAUUCCCACAACAAUCAACACGGCUGCCGUUGAAAGUCCUUCCACACGGGAGCUGAAAUCCCAAACGCCACACUUCCUCUCACCCGGUGUUCCAGCUCCAGAUGACUCUACCACCCUCUGACACGAAAAGGCCAACAACUCAUUCCAAUAUCACAGGGUCCACAGCUCUGAAGCGUGUGAUCCUAGUACCCUGCUGCACCAUGCGCAAAAGGAGCCACGCAAGAGAAGGGGCUGCAAGCAUCUAAUGCAAAAGAGGGGAAUGACACUGCAAUCCACCAAUUGAGUCCACGCUGCUCAUGCUGUCAACUUGGAGCUGAAUGCAGCAAAAGCAGCAGCUGACAAGUCCUUGCAGUGGGGUGGGCUAUGAAUCCACCCCAGAAACGGAGCUGUGGAGCUAGCUUCUUUGCUGCUGCUUCUUCUUCUUCUUCUUCUUCAUCACCAUCAUCAUAAUCUUCAUCAUCACUGCAGGGAGUGGCACCAUUGAAGGCUCUCCUGACACGCAGCAACAAUGCAGCUGUACACUUGAAGGCCAGUCUCUCA